Molecule: unclassified non-coding RNA, 675 nt
Filed under: Hevea brasiliensis (rubber tree)
Lineage: Eukaryota; Viridiplantae; Streptophyta; Magnoliopsida; Malpighiales; Euphorbiaceae
Source: RNAcentral
UCCGUCACUGCAUUGACACUUUCCUCGCCGGCUUCGUUUUCUCUCACUAAAACUCGUUUCUUUUUUAUUUCUUGAACUCAGUGAGUCAGCAAAGAUGAUGCACAUGACCUUUUACUGGAGCCGGGAGGUGACUCUUCUGGUGGACUCCUGGCGCACCAAGACAUGGCUGGCUUACGCCUUGACUCUUCUCGUUUGCCUAGUCGCCUCCGCCUUAUACCAAUUCCUAGAGAACCUCCGCAUCCACAUGCGCUUCAAAGUCAUCGCCAGAACCGACGGUUCAGCGGCAGAAGAGCCUUUGCUUCGAUCCAAGAAGAGUAAAGGGAAAUGGUCGGCGGCGAGGGUAGCCGGAGCAGUGCUUUUCGGAGUGAACUCGGCGAUCGGGUACAUGCUGAUGCUUGCUGUGAUGUCGUUUAACGCAGGGGUGUUUGUGGCGAUCGUAUUGGGGCUGGCUAUUGGGUAUUUGUUGUUUAGGAGUGAAGAUGAGAAUUUGACUCUUUCUGAUAGCCCUUGUGCCUGUGCCUAGACACACAGAGACAAGAAAACUGAACAAAGUAUGUAUUUGUGUAUGUACUUUUCUCUGUUGGGUUAUGGUUGUAUGUUUCUUUUCCCUGUAAAAAUCUCAUCUUUGUCUCGUGCAAUUUGGGAACCGAGCUGAAGAAACAAUUAGGUUCUUUG